GCUGGGCAUGGUGGUGCAUGCCUGUAGUCCUAGCUACUGGGGAGGCUGAGGCAGGAGGAUCACUUGAGCUUAGGAGUUCAAGGCUGCAGUGAGCUAUAAUAGCACCACUGCACUGAAGUCUGGGUGACAGAGUAAAACCCUGUCUCUA
Molecule: non-coding RNA, 148 nt
Filed under: Gorilla gorilla gorilla (western lowland gorilla)
Lineage: Eukaryota; Metazoa; Chordata; Mammalia; Primates; Hominidae
Source: Rfam by way of RNAcentral